RNAcentral lists this ribosomal RNA (200 nucleotides) under uncultured archaeon. Its description in RNAcentral is "partial 16S ribosomal RNA". It matches the Rfam family "Archaeal small subunit ribosomal RNA", at positions 541 to 740 of the family's 1478-position model. The record is from RNAcentral.
GUCGGGAAAUCCACUCGCCUAACGAGUGGGCGUCCGGCGGAAACUACAGGGCUUGGGACCGGAAGACUUGAGGGGUACGUCUGGGGUAGGAGUGAAAUCCUGUAAUCCUGGACGGACCGCCGAUGGCGAAAGCACCUCAAGACGACGGAUCCGACAGUGAGGGACGAAAGCUAGGGUCUCGAACCGGAUUAGAUACCCGG